Nicotiana tabacum (common tobacco) is the source of this 1349-nucleotide non-coding RNA. The record is from RefSeq and is a predicted model, not a curated record. NCBI's taxonomy places the organism in Eukaryota, Viridiplantae, Streptophyta, Magnoliopsida, Solanales, Solanaceae.
UCAAUGACUACCCCCAUAAAACCCUAAUUCUCAAACCUCUUCAAAACUGCACUUCCUUUUAGCGGAGCCUCUCCUCCGUGCCACCCCUUCUCCGUCGUCUAAUCUCAAAUCCACCCAGAACCCCAUUUUUGUUUCUGGCUCAAAUUCAGCCAAAAUGUCGAUGUCGAAGAGUUCCAAAAUGCUUCAAUACAUCAAUUACCGUAUGCGUGUAACAAUCCAAGACGGCCGUCAAUUGAUCGGAAAAUUCAUGGCUUUCGACCGACACAUGAACCUCGUGCUUGGCGACUGUGAAGAGUUCCGCAAACUUCCUCCGACAAAAGGAUCCAAAGAAGAACGUGAAGACCGGCGUACACUUGGUCUCGUACUUCUCCGUGGUGAAGAGGUUAUUUCAAUGACUGUUGAGGGCCCACCUCCUCCUGAUGAAUCCCGGGUUAAGUCUACUGCUGCCGGUUCUGCUGUUCCCGGCCCGGGGCUCGGUCGGGCUGCUGGUCGUGGUGUUCCUACUGGGCCUUUAGUUCAUGCUCAGCCUGGACUUGCUGGGCCUGUUCGUGGUGUUGGUGGGCCUGCUCCUGGUAUGAUGCAGCCUCAAAUUUCCCGGCCUCCGAUGCCGAAUGUCUCUGCUCCCCCAAUGAAUUACCCGCCGCCGGUGAUGAGGCCGCCUGGUGGUGGCCCACCAAUGCAAAUGCAGAUGCAGAGACCUGGGGGUCCACCACCGCCUAUGGCGCCUCCACCACAGUUCAGGCCUGGUGGUGGCCCACCACAGUUCCCGCCGCAGUUUGGUCAGCGGCCAAUGGUUCCUCCGCCUCCCAUGAUGAGGGGCCCACCUCCACCUGGUGCUCCACCUCGACCAGGAAUGCCUGGUGGUCCUCCUGGUCAACCGCCUCGCCCGGGUAUGCCACCCCCGCCUCCUGGCGGUCAGGUUCCUGUUUAUGGGCCUCCUCGUCCUGGUAUGCCUCCACCACCUAAUCAGCAGAAUCAGCAGUAAUAUAACCGUGUAGGGCUUACUGUAAAGGUCAACUAGUCAUAUCUUCUCCUGCAUGCGUGAAUGGUGGUGUUACAAGUAUCACUGGGCUAAGGCGGUUUCUAUUAUGUUGAGCUGGUCAGAUGAUCUAUCUUCAUGCUGUAUGCACCCAAUGUUCGUCGGUGUUUGCUAGAGUCCUGUAACUUUGCGAUAUAGGAGAUUUCAGACGGAUGUAGUUAACAGUAUUUUUCUUUUCUCCUUUUCUUUUGAAUAUUAAAACUGUGUUACUAUUUUGAUGUGACUGAAUGAGAACUUAAGUGGUGCUAGACGGAGCUGGAAUGUGCGGCUUGCAUCUUUAUUUCUUCCAUUCCCUGGAUGGCAAGAAUAA